Molecule: ribosomal RNA, 468 nt
Filed under: uncultured bacterium
Lineage: Bacteria
Description: partial 16S ribosomal RNA
Rfam family: Bacterial small subunit ribosomal RNA
Source: RNAcentral
GAUGAACGCUGGCGGCGUGCUUAACACAUGCAAGUCGAACGGAAAGGCCCAAGCUUGCUUGGGUACUCGAGUGGCGAACGGGUGAGUAACACGUGGGUGAUCUGCCCUGCACUUCGGGAUAAGCCUGGGAAACUGGGUCUAAUACCGGAUAGGACGAUGGUUUGGAUGCCAUUGUGGAAAGUUUUUUCGGUGUGGGAUGAGCUCGCGGCCUAUCAGCUUGUUGGUGGGGUAAUGGCCUACCAAGGCGUCGACGGGUAGCCGGCCUGAGAGGGUGUACGGCCACAUUGGGACUGAGAUACGGGCCAGACUCCUACGGGAGGCAGCAGUGGGGAAUAUUGCACAAUGGGCGCAAGGCUGAUGCAGCGACGCCGCGUGGGGGAUGACGGCCUUCGGGUUGUAAACUCCUUUCGCUAGGGACGAAGCGCUUUUGUGACGGUACCUGGAGAAGAAGCACCGGCUAACUACGUG